GAUGACGCUGGCGGCGUGCUUAACACAUGCAAGUCGAACGAAGUCUUCGGACUUAGUGGCGGACGGGUGAGUAACGCGUGAGGAUCUGCCCUUAGGAGGGGGACAACAGUUGGAAACGACUGCUAAUACCCCAUAUGCCGGGAGGUGAAAAGGAGGAAUCUGCCUAAGGAGGAGCUCGCGUCUGAUUAGCUAGUUGGUGAGGUAAGGGCUUACCAAGGCGACGAUCAGUAGCUGGUCUGAGAGGAUGAUCAGCCACACUGGGACUGAGACACGGCCCAGACUCCUACGGGAGGCAGCAGUGGGGAAUUUUCCGCAAUGGGCGCAAGCCUGACGGAGCAACGCCGCGUGCGGGAGGACGGCCUGUGGGUUGUAAACCGCUUUUAUCAGGGAAGAAGAUCUGACGGUACCUGAUGAAUCAGCAUCGGCUAACUCCGUGCCAGCAGCCGCGGUAAG
This 453-nucleotide ribosomal RNA is filed under the name uncultured bacterium. Its description in RNAcentral is "bacterial SSU rRNA". It matches the Rfam family "Bacterial small subunit ribosomal RNA", at positions 33 to 524 of the family's 1533-position model. The record is from RNAcentral.